GCAGCCGCGGUAUUACGUAGGGUGCGAGCGUUAUUCGGAAUUACUGGGCGUAAAGCGUGCGCAGGCGGUUAUGCAAGACAGAUGUGAAAUCCCCGGGCUCAACCUGGGAACUGCAUUUGUGACUGCAUGGCUAGAGUACGGUAGAGGGGGAUGGAAUUCCGCGUGUAGCAGUGAAAUGCGUAGAUAUGCGGAGGAACACCGAUGGCGAAGGCAAUCCCCUGGGCCUGUACUGACGCUCAUGCACGAAAGCGUGGGGAGCAAACA
Molecule: ribosomal RNA, 264 nt
Filed under: uncultured bacterium
Lineage: Bacteria
Description: partial 16S ribosomal RNA
Rfam family: Bacterial small subunit ribosomal RNA
Source: RNAcentral